RNAcentral lists this unclassified non-coding RNA (348 nucleotides) under soil metagenome. Its description in RNAcentral is "partial contains 5.8S ribosomal RNA, internal transcribed spacer 2, and large subunit ribosomal RNA". The stretch from base 1 to 120 matches the Rfam family "5.8S ribosomal RNA", at positions 35 to 154 of the family's 154-position model. The record is from RNAcentral.
GAUGAAGAACGCAGCGAAAUGCGAUAAGUAGUGUGAAUUGCAGAAUUCAGUGAAUCAUCGAGUCUUUGAACGCACAUUGCGCCCCCUGGUAUUCCGGGGGGCAUGCCUGUCCGAGCGUCAUUGCUGCCCUCAAGCACGGCUUGUGUGUUGGGCCCCCGUCCCCGGUUUCCCCCGGGGACGGGCCCGAAAGGCAGCGGCGGCACCGCGUCCGGUCCUCGAGCGUAUGGGGCUUUGUCACCCGCUCUGUAGGCCCGGCCGGCGCCAGCCGACACCCAACUUUAUUUCUAAGGUUGACCUCGGAUCAGGUAGGGAUACCCGCUGAACUUAAGCAUAUCAAUAAGCGGAGGA